Molecule: RNA transcript, 2382 nt
Organism: Myotis davidii
Lineage: Eukaryota; Metazoa; Chordata; Mammalia; Chiroptera; Vespertilionidae
Exons: 3
Source: RefSeq, a predicted model, not a curated record
GAGACUUGGCGAGCACGACCCUCCCCGGGUACCCUCCGCACGUCCCCCCCGCCGGACAGGGCAGCUACUCGGCACCGACGCUGACAGGGAUGGUGCCUGGGAGUGAGUUUUCCGGGAGCCCCUACAGCCACCCUCAGUACCCCUCCUACAACGACUCCUGGAGGUUCCCCAACCCGGGGCUGCUCGGCUCCCCCUACUAUUACAGCGCCGCUGCCCGAGGAGCUGCCCCACCGGCAGCCGCCACUGCCUACGACCGUCACUGACCCUCGGAGCCAGGCAGACGCCAGCACUUAUGACACAUAUCACUGAGGGUGAGAGCCUCCCAGCCCCUUCCAAGACAGCCGGAGGGGCCCGACGAGAGCGUCCCCCAGCACCCUCCCCCCUCACUUGGAACUCUGCCCCCCCUUUUCCUGUCAGGGACUCUGGGGUUCUAUGGUACGGCUGCUGGACUUCUGGACACCUGUCCAUUUCUAAGAGUCAAUCGAUGAGCUUCUCCCAGCGGUGAUGGGGUCUCCACAAACCAACAGACUGUGCCGCCGGUCACUGCAGCCCCAGCCCCGCCUGCCAGUCCCCCGGCUGUCUGACCGUCUGCCCGUCUUCAGGCCCAGGCCUGGGAAGAAGAGCUUGCUUUGGUCAUUUCAACAGCACCUGUGUAAAUACCUUCUUGCUUCUCUCGUGGGCCCAAAGGUCCAACGGAGCAGACUGCCAGCCUUUAUGCAUUCAGCACCCCCAGCGCAUCACAGACCUGAGGGCAGAGCAUCCCCUCUGCCCCGGUGCCCCCGCAGUAGGGAGCUGUCCAUGGGACUGAGGAUGCCCAACUCCGGCCCCGGCCUCCUGCUCGUUGCUACUUCUUUAGCGUCUUGACUAGGUGUCUCACUAACCUGGUUGUGCUCCAAGCUCCCCCCCUCCCCCCCUCCCCGCUGAGACUUUUCCCCAAGACAAACAUUUGGGGAGAUACCCUGGCUUCCUGCCUCCACUUCCCUGGGCCCAAUGCAGUGCAAACAGCUCUUUUCUGUAUAUCAAAUGACUCAAAGAACCGCCAACCACUGUUCUAAAGUAAGAUGUCCCAGGUGCUGAUUGCAGUGUGGACUUGGAACAUUACGGCUGGAUGGGACCCAGGAGAUCAUGGUCCAAGGCGGGACCUGACGUCCUCCUGACCCGCCAGCCCCUGGAACCGCUGACCUGAACUGGGAUGUGCUUUCGGAGGCAUUCCCAGGCUCGAUCACUUUGGACACCCACCACGGACACUGCCCUCACCCUCCAGGACCCCGUGAGUGGAUUCUGUUCUGCUGUGUAGACAGUGGUUAACAAGAAGGACUUUGCCUGCACUGAGGACCACACGCACCUGCAGCAUCUCCAGAACUUCCUGAGCAGCUCUCUGAUCCUGGUGGAGCCUUGCAUGCCGCUGGGAAUGGAGGUGCCAGGUGGGGCAGAUGCCCAACUUCAAGCAGUGGGUGUCUGCCUGUUGACAUGAGGGGCCAUCAUGGUCAGAGCCAUGGCCAAGGGCUACAGGAGCUUGGAGAGGGACUUGUAGAACUCACUGUGGGCUGGAGUGGUGAGUAAAAGCCAGUUGGGAGGGUUUGGGGAGACAGAGGAAGGCCUCCUGAGAGAGGGACAGGACAGGCAGUGAGGAACUGGUGGGUGAAUUGGAAAUGGUUUUGAGGUGGGGUUGCCAGGAACCGCCAUAUCUUUGCCUAGGGCCUCAAUUCCUUGCAUAGUCUCUCUUGCCAACUCAGAACAGCCAGGUGGAAGUUCUGUCCAAAUCUGGGCUGAAUUAUAGCAAUGACAGUGGACUUUGCCAUUACAUGACACAGGGUCCCCGAUAUCUGCAUGACACCAGGUUGGCAGAGAGCUGGGGCAGAGAGAGCCCGCACUUGAGGUGAUUGGCCCUGGGAGGUCUUGUCCUGGCCGUACCUCUGCCUAGCUGUGGGACCUCUGACAAGACCCUUCACCUCUCUGAGCCUCGGUUGCCUUGGGACUGCAGGGUCAUCUGACAGCUCUCUCCUAACUUCUUCUCUCACAGGAAGUUGGGACAGGCCCUCCACUGCUGAGAAAGCAGACAGAGGUGGGCACCUACCGAGUCCCACUAAUAUUCAGACCACGUGGGAAAUAAGAACACCCAGAGGGGUGGAAAUCAAUCUUGAGGAAGACCUAGUCCAAAUCCCCUCAAGGGAAACUGAGGCCCAACUGGGGGAAGCCCGGGGCGUGCAGGGAGAGAGAGAGCAGACCUCCUUGGGCCACUACCAGGCGUUUUGGCCCCCCAAUAUCCCUGCAAGGUGGUGGGACAGAUAAACUGAGGCUCAGCAAAGUGCAGUCCCCAGGCAGUGACUUGGCCCCUGAACCCUGGCACAGGGUGAUCCUCCCAUCCCUGGGGAGGGCAUU